Molecule: unclassified non-coding RNA, 731 nt
Filed under: uncultured Prochlorococcus sp.
Lineage: Bacteria; Bacillati; Cyanobacteriota; Cyanophyceae; Synechococcales; Prochlorococcaceae
Description: partial 16S-23S ribosomal RNA intergenic spacer; may also contain 16S ribosomal RNA and 23S ribosomal RNA
Rfam family: tRNA (bases 341-413)
Source: RNAcentral
UUGUGGAGAAGGACGCCGAAGGUGGGGCUGAUGACUGGGGUGAAGUCGUAACAAGGUAGCCGUACUGGAAGGUGCGGCUGGAUCACCUCCUAACAGGGAGACAAUUAAUUGAUUGUAUUGUCUAAGUAUUUUAUUCUUAGGCUGCAAUCCUGUCACCUUAAGGUCGAUCGGUACCUCAGAUUUUUGAAUUUUAUCUUAAAAUUUUUGAAUUUCAGUUCCUAAACUUGUCUAGGUCACACCCAACAAAGGUUUCUCCUGGGCCAUUAGCUCAGGUGGUUAGAGCGCACCCCUGAUAAGGGUGAGGUCCCUGGUUCAAGUCCAGGAUGGCCCAUUCGUUGUUGGGGGUAUAGCUCAGUUGGUAGAGCGCCUGCUUUGCAAGCAGGAUGUCAGCGGUUCGAGUCCGCUUACCUCCACUGAAAACUAUCCUGCUAACUAAAUUUCCGAGGAGAAAUUGUAGAUGUGACUUAGAUUUGACUACUAUAAAAGAACCUAGCUUCUUAUCAUCACUUUUAUGUUGAUAAUAUGCUGGGCUCACAUGGAUUUAUCCAUGAGAAUUCAGUAGAACCUUGAAAACUGCAUAGAUUAGAAAGAAUAAAGCAUCUCAUGGAUGCAUAAUUCUGAUUUGAUUUUUUAGUUAUUAACUAAUAGAUCAAUUAUUGGAAUUCAUGUUUAAUUCUUGAGUAAUAGCCGAGCACAAUUGAUUUUGUGAUUGUAUUAAGGUCCAGCUACAA